CCUACGGGGGCUGCAGUGAGGAAUAUUGGUCAAUGGGCGGAAGCCUGAACCAGCCAAGUAGCGUGCGGGAUGAAGGCCCUACGGGUCGUAAACCGCUUUUGCACGGGGAUAACACCCUCCACUUGUGGAGGUCUGCAGGUACCGUGCGAAUAAGGGCCGGCUAAUUCCGUGCCGGCAGCCGCGGUCAGACGGAAGGCUCGAGCGUUAUCCGGAUUCAUUGGGCUUAAAGGGAGCGUAGGCGGGCGUUCAAGUCAGCGGUAAAAUGGCGCGGCUCAACCGCGCCCCGCAGUUGAACCUGGACGCCUUGAGUUCAGAGCGGGCGGGCGAAAUUCGUGGUGUAGCGGUGAAA
Molecule: ribosomal RNA, 349 nt
Filed under: uncultured bacterium
Lineage: Bacteria
Description: partial 16S ribosomal RNA
Rfam family: Bacterial small subunit ribosomal RNA
Source: RNAcentral